AGUACUCCCCUGCCUUUCAUGACACAGCUGGCAUUUCCUAGAGCCCAGGUGGAGACGCUGCUGGGUGCUCCACACAGGGCGAUUCUGACCCAGUGAGUGUGCCUGCUUGCUGCCAGAACCACUCGCAAAGAGACCGGGCAGGGUUAAGGGCUGACGGGCUAAGUGGGCAGCAGGAACAGGCCCUUCUCAUUCCAGGAACGCCAGGGACUCUGAAGGUGCUUCAGCCCCUCUGCGUAGCUAGGAGUCACUGCAAAGUUGCUAUCAGAAUGUGCUAUUGCAGGCGAAGCAACAUAGAAGAGGCCGGAAGAUUUAAAAUAAGUUCAUCUUCCUGCUUGCAGUGCACAAAGGGGCGUAUAUUUGGAAGAGUUUUGCUGUCAAGCCAGUGAAGAAAGAAAAGCGAAAGAGAGGAAUUUGAAGUCUAAGCAAAACAUCCUUCCUUCGGAGGUCAAAGAGCCGAGUCAGACCUACAGUAUGCUAGAAGUCAACAACUCCUCAGUGGCACCUACUGACCUCCAUAGUUGAAAGGACAUUUCAUUUUUCAUUUUGAAAAAACAAAAUUAAAAAUUUACAUGCAACAUCGUUGGAAAUCGCACAGUGGUGAUUCUCGCCCCAAUGGUGGCUGGCCCAUUGUAUGUUGCUCCCAUCCAUCCAUCCAUCCAUCCAUCCAUCCAUCCAUCCAUCCAUCCCCCGUGGCAGCCUGGGUUGCCCGCCCACCUUCAGGUCUUCAGAUACAGUAAUACCUCGGUUCACGAACGCUUCUGUUCACGACCAAUUCGGGUCACGAACAGCACCGUUCGCAAAAUUUUG
This is a non-coding RNA of Python bivittatus (Burmese python), 807 nucleotides long. The record is from RefSeq and is a predicted model, not a curated record. NCBI's taxonomy places the organism in Eukaryota, Metazoa, Chordata, Lepidosauria, Squamata, Pythonidae.